Small nuclear RNA from Mustela lutreola (European mink), 104 nucleotides. The record is from RefSeq and is a predicted model, not a curated record. Lineage: Eukaryota; Metazoa; Chordata; Mammalia; Carnivora; Mustelidae.
GUGCUCACUUUGGCAGCACAUAUACUAAAAUUGGAACCAUACACAGAUUAGCAUGGCCACUGUGCAAGGAUGACAUGCAAAUUGGUGAAGCGUUCCAUAUUUUU